This 2564-nucleotide unclassified non-coding RNA is filed under the name Leishmania donovani. RNAcentral's name for it is "gene:LdHU3.24.0870(CDS-product:signal_recognition _particle_putative)". The record is from RNAcentral. Lineage: Eukaryota; Euglenozoa; Kinetoplastea; Trypanosomatida; Trypanosomatidae.
CCCAUUCCUGUACACACACACACACAAGCUCUGCCAUUUCGCCUCGAGAGGCACGCACACAGAUAGGCAGCUACAGCCAACGGGCACCGAAUCAUUUUCUGCAGCGACGAUGGUCUUGGCAGAGCUGGGUCAGAAAAUCGGGCAGGCGAUCCAUCGCAUGUCCGCCAAGUCGAUGCUGGGUGAGGAUGACGUGAAGGAGCUGAUGAACGAGAUCGCGCGUGCGCUGCUGCAAGCAGACGUGAACGUCACCAUUGUGAAAAAGCUUCAGGUGAGCAUCAAGACGGAGCUGGCGCUAGCGGAGGAGGGCGCUGGGCUGAACAAGCGCAAGAUCCUUCAGAACGCUGUCUUCAACGGCCUCAAGCGCAUCCUCGACCCCGGGGUGAAGCCGUUCAUACCGGUGAAGGGGAAGCAAAAUGUUGUGAUGUUUGUGGGCCUGCAAGGGUCCGGCAAGACGACAUCGUGCACGAAGUACGCCGUCUACUUUCAGCGCAAGGGUUUCAAAACGGCGCUGGUGUGCGCCGACACGUUCCGCGCUGGCGCGUACGAUCAGCUGCGUCAGAACGCGACCAAGGCCAAGGUACGCUUUUACGGGUCAUUGACGGAGGCAGACCCGGUAGCGAUCGCCAAGGAAGGUGUGGCAGAACUCAAGAAGGAGAAGUACGACCUCAUCAUCGUAGACACAAGUGGACGCCAUAAGCAGGAGUCGGCGCUCUUCGAGGAGAUGAAGCAGGUCGAGGAAGCCGUGAAGCCGAACGACAUAGUCUUCGUCAUGUCCGCGACAGACGGCCAGGCGGUAGAGGAGCAAGCACGCAACUUCAAGGAAAUGGUUGCUGUCGGGUCGGUCAUUGUCACGAAGCUAGACUGCCAGACCAAGGGCGGCGGUGCGCUCUCCGCCGUGGCGGCGACGCGCAGCCCCAUCGUCUUCAUCGGCACCGGCGAGCACUUCGAGGACUUCGACCUCUUUAAUCCGGAGCGGUUUGUGCAGAAGAUGUUGGGCAUGGGCGACAUAGGCGGGCUGAUGGACACGAUGCGCGACGCCAACAUCGACGGCAACGAGGAGGUCUACAAGCGCCUGCAGGACGGCCUGUUCACAAUGCGUGACAUGUACGAGCAUCUGCAGAACGUGCUCAAGAUGGGCUCCGUUGGUAAAAUCAUGGAAAUGCUGCCCGGGAUGUCGGGCCACGCCGCUACGGCGGGUCAGCAGGGCGACAUUGCGCUGAAGGGGUUUAUCCACAUGCUAGACAGCAUGACGGUCGCCGAGCUGGAUGAAGCCAAGGUGAAGAAGAUGAUGACACCAUCCCGCAUGCACCGCAUCGCGCGCGGCAGCGGCCACUCCGUCGUCGAGGUGCAGAACCUGAUUAUUAGCUACACGAAGUUUGAGGAGAUCGUGAAGAAGAUGGGCAAGAUAAACUUCAAGGCCAUGAUGCAGGACUCCUCCGGCCCCGCCGCGGGGCACAUGGGGCAACAGCAGAUGGGUCAGCUGGCGAAGCUGCUCAACCCGAACAUGCUACGGCAGAUCGGCGGCGUGGGUGGACUGCAGGGGAUGAUGAAGCAGCUUCAGCAGAGCAUGGGUGGUGGUGCGGGCGGCGCAGGCGGGAUGCCAGAUAUGUCUGCCAUGGCAAACAUGAUGCAGAUGAUGCAGCAGCAUCAGAAACCGCCGCGGCGGUGAAGGAUGGCGGGUGAGAAAGCGAAUGGCACGACAAGACGUCGUGCAGUUGUGCGCUGUUGAGCUGCGUGCUUGGCCGGUACCGUGAUGUGUGGCUUUUGCGGAGGCCGUGGCGCCGUCUCUGUUUCGGCCUUCUUUUGGUUGAAUGGUAGUGCGAACUCUUUUAUUCUCCCACUGCUGCUGCUUCCUUUCGCUGUGGCGCACGCCUGCGACGACGGGGCGCCGCUGUCUUCCGCGUUGUGUGUGUGUGUGUGUGUGUGUGUGUGUGUGUGUGUGUGUGUGUAUGUACGUGUAUUGUAUGCGUGUUUGAUUGUUGCUGUGUAAGUGUUUUCUGUCGCUGUUGAAGAAGGCUUUGCGAAGCCCUCGCUACGGUGCGUGCGUCAUGGUGCUGUGAUAGGCAGCACCACUGCGCCCCUUCUAGGACUAAUCUCCUACUGGAGGCUCUAACGACGGCAACAAAGGCAUAACGUACACAGCAGCCGAGGGCUAUCGAUGUGUUGGGCGGUUUUGAAUAGCCCUUCCGUACUUGCGCAGGCGGCCAUUUCCUGCACCUCCUUUUCGUGUGGCGUGUCGCUUUCUACCGCGGGUGUCUGCGACGGUGGUAGUGCUGUUGAUGAGGCUUUCACUCUCGGCUCCUCGGCGUCUCUACCACUCUCUCCCUUGUAUGCAACGGCGGGCGGGGGUAAGGAGGGGGCCGAAACUGCAGCAUCUCGCCCACAUGAGCACGCGUGUGUCUAUUAAGAAUCCGUGAUGUAAGAGGCGUGCUACCAAUAGUGUGCAGAGUUGUGGCUGUUGCUGGUGUGAUGAAUACUUUAGUGGCACAGGGCUACACACGAUCUUGCUUCUGUUUCUCUCUUGCCAUGCAUGGAUGCCUCCGAGUUGGCAUCGCCUCCACCAG